CCUACGGGAGACAGCAGUGAGGAAUAUUGGUCAAUGGACGCAAGUCUGAACCAGCCAUGCCGCGUGCAGGAAGACGGCUCUAUGAGUUGUAAACUGCUUUUGUACGAGGGUAAACGCAGAUACGCGUAUCUGUCUGAAAGUAUCGUACGAAUAAGGAUCGGCUAACUCCGUGCCAGCAGCCGCGGUAAUACGGAGGAUUCAAGCGUUAUCCGGAUUUAGUGGGUUUAAAGGGUGCGUAGGCGGUCGGAUAAGUUAGAGGUGAAAUCCCGAGGCUCAACUUCGGAAUUGCCUCUGAUACUGUUCGGCUAGAGAGUAGUUGCGGUAGGCGGAAUGUAUGGGGUAGCGGUGAAAUGCUUAGAGAUCAUACAGAACACCGAUUGCGAAGGCAGCUUACCAAGCUACUUCUGACGUUGAGGCACGAAAGCGUGGGGAGCAAACAGGAUUAGAUACCCGGGUAGUC
RNAcentral lists this ribosomal RNA (460 nucleotides) under uncultured bacterium. Its description in RNAcentral is "partial 16S ribosomal RNA". It matches the Rfam family "Bacterial small subunit ribosomal RNA", at positions 338 to 795 of the family's 1533-position model. The record is from RNAcentral.